GACGAACGCUGGCGGCGUGCUUAACACAUGCAAGUCGAACGGAAAGGCCCUGCUUUUGUGGGGUGCUCGAGUGGCGAACGGGUGAGUAACACGUGAGUAACCUGCCCUUGACUUUGGGAUAACUUCAGGAAACUGGGGCUAAUACCGGAUAGGAGCUCCUGCUGCAUGGUGGGGGUUGGAAAGUUUCGGCGGUUGGGGAUGGACUCGCGGCUUAUCAGCUUGUUGGUGGGGUAGUGGCUUACCAAGGCUUUGACGGGUAGCCGGCCUGAGAGGGUGACCGGACACAUUGGGAGUGAGAUAAGGCCCAGACUCCUAAGGGAGGCAGCAGUGGGGAAUAUUGCACAAUGGGCGGAAGCCUGAUGCAGCAACGCCGCGUGCGGGAUGACGGCCUUCGGGUUGUAAACCGCGUUCGCCUGUGACGAAGAGUGAGUGACGGGAAUGGGUAAAGAAGCACCGGCGAACUACGUG
This 468-nucleotide ribosomal RNA is filed under the name uncultured bacterium. Its description in RNAcentral is "partial 16S ribosomal RNA". It matches the Rfam family "Bacterial small subunit ribosomal RNA", at positions 28 to 507 of the family's 1533-position model. The record is from RNAcentral.